GGGCGGUUAGCUCAGCGGUAGAGCACUGCUUUCACACGGCAGGGGUCACAGGUUCAAACCCUGUACCGCCCACCA
This 75-nucleotide transfer RNA is filed under the name Pseudochelatococcus lubricantis. RNAcentral's name for it is "tRNA-Val". It matches the Rfam family "tRNA". From Rfam's summary of the family: Transfer RNA (tRNA) molecules are approximately 80 nucleotides in length. Lineage: Bacteria; Pseudomonadati; Pseudomonadota; Alphaproteobacteria; Hyphomicrobiales; Chelatococcaceae. The record is from RNAcentral. RNAcentral also lists the same sequence under 10 other names.